UACAGAGGUCUCAAGCGUUGUUCGGAUUCAUUGGGCGUAAAGGGUGCGUAGGUGGCGCCGUAAGUCAGGUGUGAAAUUUCGGAGCUUAACUCCGAAACUGCAUUUGAUACUGCGGUGCUUGAGGACUGGAGAGGAGACUGGAAUUCACGGUGUAGCAGUGAAAUGCGUAGAUAUCAGGAGGAACACCGAUGGCGAAGGCAGGUCUCUGGGCAUUAACUGACGCUGAGGAGCGAAAGCAUGGGGAGCGAACAGG
RNAcentral lists this ribosomal RNA (253 nucleotides) under uncultured bacterium. RNAcentral's name for it is "partial 16S ribosomal RNA". It matches the Rfam family "Bacterial small subunit ribosomal RNA", at positions 524 to 776 of the family's 1533-position model. The record is from RNAcentral.